This 386-nucleotide ribosomal RNA is filed under the name uncultured eukaryote. Its description in RNAcentral is "partial 18S ribosomal RNA". It matches the Rfam family "Eukaryotic small subunit ribosomal RNA", at positions 592 to 976 of the family's 1831-position model. The record is from RNAcentral.
CAAUAGCGUAUAUUAAAGUUGUUGCAGUUAAAAAGCUCGUAGUUGGAUUUCUGGAUCGAACGCUUCGUCCGCCGCUGUGCGGUGUGUACUGAGGUUUUGUUUCGAUUCAUCCUUGCAGGGAAGCGAGUUCGAGAUUAAUUUGUCGGCUCGGGGAACUGCAUCUUUUACUGUGAAAAAAUUAGAGUGUUUAAAGCAGGCAUUUUGCUGUGAAUACAUUAGCAUGGAAUAAUAAUAUAGGACUUUGGUUCUAUUUUGUUGGUUGGAGGCCAAGGUAAUGAUUAAUAGGGACAGUUGGGGGUAUUCAUAUUUAAUUGUCAGAGGUGAAAUUCUUGGAUUUAUGAAAGAUGAACUCAUGCGAAAGCAUUUACCAAGGAUGUUUUCAUUAA